Molecule: ribosomal RNA, 971 nt
Filed under: Rhodotorula mucilaginosa
Lineage: Eukaryota; Fungi; Basidiomycota; Microbotryomycetes; Sporidiobolales; Sporidiobolaceae
Description: partial large subunit ribosomal RNA
Rfam family: Eukaryotic large subunit ribosomal RNA
Source: RNAcentral
GGAUUCCCUAGUAGCGGCGAGCGAAGCGGGAAGAGCUCAAAUUUAUAAUCUGGCACCUUCGGUGUCCGAGUUGUAAUCUCUAGAAAUGUUUUCCGCGUUGGACCGCACACAAGUCUGUUGGAAUACAGCGGCAUAGUGGUGAGACCCCCGUAUAUGGUGCGGACGCCCAGCGCUUUGUGAUACAUUUUCGAAGAGUCGAGUUGUUUGGGAAUGCAGCUCAAAUUGGGUGGUAAAUUCCAUCUAAAGCUAAAUAUUGGCGAGAGACCGAUAGCGAACAAGUACCGUGAGGGAAAGAUGAAAAGCACUUUGGAAAGAGAGUUAACAGUACGUGAAAUUGUUGGAAGGGAAACGCUUGAAGUCAGACUUGCUUGCCGAGCAAUCGGUUUGCAGGCCAGCAUCAGUUUUCCGGGAUGGAUAAUGGUAGAGAGAAGGUAGCAGUUUCGGCUGUGUUAUAGCUCUCUGCUGGAUACAUCUUGGGGGACUGAGGAACGCAGUGUGCCUUUUGGCGGGGGUUUCGACCUCUUCACACUUAGGAUGCUGGUGGAAUGGCUUUAAACGACCCGUCUUGAAACACGGACCAAGGAGUCUAACAUGCUUGCGAGUAUUUGGGUGUCAAACCCGGAUGCGUAAUGAAAGUGAAUGGAGGUGGGAACCGCAAGGUGCACCAUCGACCGAUCUGGAUUUUUAAUGAUGGAUUUGAGUAAGAGCACGUAUGUUGGGACCCGAAAGAUGGUGAACUAUGCCUGAAUAGGGCGAAGCCAGAGGAAACUCUGGUGGAGGCUCGUAGCGGUUCUGACGUGCAAAUCGAUCGUCAAAUUUGGGUAUAGGGGCGAAAGACUAAUCGAACCAUCUAGUAGCUGGUUCCUGCCGAAGUUUCCCUCAGGAUAGCAGAAACUCACAUCAGUUCUAUGAGGUAAGCGAAUGAUUAAAGGCCUUGGGGUUGAACAACCUUAACCUAUUCUCAACUUUAA